Long non-coding RNA from Pecten maximus, 983 nucleotides. RefSeq lists it as uncharacterized. The transcript is spliced from 3 exons. The record is from RefSeq and is a predicted model, not a curated record. Lineage: Eukaryota; Metazoa; Mollusca; Bivalvia; Pectinida; Pectinidae.
AAAGAUGGCGAACACCCGAUCUAAGUGAAAGGGUUCUGAAUCAGUUUUAACCGAGAGCAUGAAGAAACGAAGAAUCGAUAACGUGAUUUUAACUUCACAAAGACGAACACGUAUCUUAGAGACAGAGCAAGCAGAUGGCAUCAGUUAAUAAAGACCGAAGGGAUUAAAACAGACCCUCCGUUGGCCAAGCUAAUGCCUUGAACAGUAGUGAAAAGAAGUGCCUGCCUACGAGGAUUUCCAUAUAUUUUCAAGGAAAAGAUGUAUGUUUUGAAAAGUGUUGAAAGUGACAUGCAGGAGGACUAAGCAGGGAUGAAACUGAAGUACCAUGACGUCAUGACAAUCAUGGAUGAUGACUUUUGUGUUGAAAUAGAUGGGGAACAAAUCAUUCAGUGCAAUUCUUUAGCGGAUUUUUUUUUUUGCGGACUUCUCAUCAUUAUAUAUGCUUUCAACUAAGCAUAUCCUAGGAAUUGGCCAAACAUUCCUCUUCAUUCAGAAAGUCAUCUCAGGACUACAUGAUGAAUUCGAAGAACUGGACAGAAAGCUCUCAUCGGUGGUGUCCGAAAUAACUAGGGCGAUGAAUUAUGUUUUUUGGACUUUAUAAUAGGCAGAAUAUCAUUUUUAAGGGGAUUCUGGGGCGUUAAAAAUGCUCAUAUUCAUCUAGAAACUAGAUAAGAGUCUGGAAACAGAAAACUUGAUCCUGAAAAGAGAUACAGGUGGUAAUUUUAUUUGAUCCUGAAGUCUCUACAGGUGGUAGGUUUCUGUGAAGGGCUGAGAUUAAUUAUUAAUGAUUGCCUUUUGCUAUUUUUAAUUAGUUGUAUAUCAAAAUUGAAAACAAAUCACAUUAUUGCAUACAUAAAAUCCUGUGUAGCUUGGAAAAUGAAUGACAUAUUAUUAUGUUUAAUUUUUAUGCUGCUAUGUGUCCCAAGAUGUUGAAAGAGUCACACCUUUGGAAUAAAGUUGAAUUAUCUACAUUCCAAAGAAAA